CUCCUGCAACGCGGCACGGCUUCACCCCGCCCGCCAAUCGCCAUGCUCCCCGCCGCCCUCGUCCCCUCGCCGCCGGGCCGCCUGCUCGCCCCCGGCCCUCUCCGCUGCCACGCCCCGACCCAGCACACCUCCGCCGCCGCCGCCGGGGCCGCGGCCCGCGGCCUCCUCCUCCGCGGCGCGGGCUCCCCCGUCGUCAAGCGCGCCCCAGACGGCGGCGGGUGGCUCCUCUGGCACCAGUCCGGCGCGCGCGUGGCGCUCGCCACCUCCCAGGACGGGCUCCGCUGGAGCGCUCCCGUCUCCCCGGACCCGCUGCUGCCCUCCGAGGACUGGUGGGCGUUCGACACCGCCGCCGUCCGCCCCUCCGACGUCCUCCUCAUCUCCGGCCCCGCCGCGUCCUCGCGCCGCUUCCCGUCCUCCGCGGUCUACUGGCUCUACUACGCGGGCUCCACCGACGGGCGGUUCGGCUCCGCGUUCCCCGCCGCGGACGUCCCCGUGCUGCCCGGGCUCGCCAUCAGCCAGGACGGCCGCAACUGGGCGCGCAUCGAGGGGGCCCACCACACCGGCGCGCUGCUCGGCGUCGGGGAGGAGGGGGUGGAACCCCGCGGGUGGGAGGCGCGCUGCAUUGCCGCGCCCAAGGUGGUGAUGCACGCAGACGGGGACCUGCGGAUGUACUACCACUCGUUCGAUGAAAUGUCGCAGCAGCACGCGAUCGGUCUGGCGAGAUCCAGGGAUGGCAUCCGGUGGACCAAGAUGGGGAAGGUGCUCGAGGGGGGCCGUGCUGGAUCGUUUGAUGAGUGCGGGGUGCGGCACGGACACGUUGUCCGUGACCGUGCCGCCGGGCGGUAUGUCAUGGUGUAUGAGGGUGUUGAUGCGGAUGGGAGGGUGAGCAUUGGAAUGGCCGUGUCGGAGGACGGCUUGAAAGGCUGGAGGCGGUCCAGCGAGAUGCCAGUGCUGUGCCCGUCUGAGGAGGACGAAGGGUGGGAUGGUGCUGGGGUUGGUUCACCGUACUUGGUGCAAAUGGAUGGGGCCUAUGACUGGAGACUGUAUUACAUGGGUGUUGGGGGGGAUGGCGAGGCUUCGAUCGGGAUGGCGUAUUCAGAGGGCCAGGCUCUUCAGAAAUUCGAGAAGUGUGAUGCUGUUCUCAUGUAAGGUUGUACCCUUAGUUUCUGCUGGCUCUUUUGCACCAGAUGCAAUAGCUCGUAGCUGAUGUUUUUUCACAUUAAUGGUGACGUUCCACCUUGAAAGCCUGAAAAAGAAAAGGAAUUUUUACAUCAUGUGAACUUGUAGCAUAUGCAAGCAGUGUGGUUGAAGCGCUCGCGGAUUUCUGGCGACUACUACUAUGGGUAGUAGUUAGUUCAACUGAAAGUGUCUUAAUCUGUACCCACAGUUUUUCGUAUAUAAGGGAUCCAAUGAAGCUGUUGAACAAAGUGGUACAGUCUUCCUCUGGCUCAAGAGGUUGAUCUGUUUUGAGAGGCCAUGUGCAGAGGGAAGGACCUGUACUGUAGUCUCAAUAAUGCAAUGUUGCAUAGUUAUUUCAACUGGGUCAUGGUUGUCCUUUCUUCCUUCGUUGCGAGGCAGCAGUCUGACAAGAACAGACAGUGCACUUCAUCUUGGCAGAAAGAAGUCACAGAAGAUACUUAUGGUGUUGCAGCAAAAGGAUCGCUAAUACUCUGAACACUUCAGAGGAUAUCAUCUACUGCAACAAUCUGGAGCUGACUAAUUUCAUUGGUACUCACCUGUUACCAAGAAGAGCAUGAAGUUGGAUGAUGGUCUGCUCUUCCUGCAAGCUGAACUUGCCCCUCUUGAUGUCCGGCCUCAGGCAGUGAUCGCCAGCUCCCAUGGCCGUGCUCCUCAAUGUAGACAAGCAGCUUCUGAUCCUCCUCUGGCGUCCAUGGACCUUUCUUCAGGCCAAUCUUCUCACAGCAUGGUGAUCGCCCCAUUAAAGCAGUGUGGUGUGUUAUCGUUCUGAAUUCAAGCUGACAGCUGAGCUGAGUGCAGAGGGGCUGGAGGAUAUAUAGAGCAGGAUGAGAAGAAGGCAAGAUGCACUGCUACUACUAUAAAUCAUUAGCAUGAUAGGAGGUAUGACACUGAAUUUUCCAUGUCUUAUCAUGACAUAAAUGUCCUUAUGUUGGUUUGCUUCAGUUUGGCUACGAGGUACAUGUAGACGUACAGGUCCUUGUUGAUCUACUUGAACGUAAGAAUACAGUAACAAACAAUUUCCUUCAUUUGAGGGUCAGUUUAACACUGAGGUCCA
RNA transcript from Panicum virgatum (switchgrass), 2254 nucleotides. RefSeq lists it as uncharacterized. The transcript is spliced from 5 exons. The record is from RefSeq and is a predicted model, not a curated record. Lineage: Eukaryota; Viridiplantae; Streptophyta; Magnoliopsida; Poales; Poaceae.